GAAAUGCGAUAAGUAAUGCGAAUUGCAGAUUUCAGUGAAUCAUCGAAUCUUUGAACGCACAUUGCGCCCGCCAGUAUUCUGGCGGGCAUGCCUGUUCGAGCGUCAUUUCAACCAUCAAGCUUUAGGCUUGCGUUGGGGACCUGCGGCUGCCCGCAGGCCCUGAAAACCAGUGGCGGGCUCGCUGUCACCCCGGUCGUAGUAGUAUCAUCUCGUCCAGGGCGUGGCUGCGGUCUCCGGCCGUUAAACCUUCUCAAACCCAAAGGUUGACCUCGGAUCAGGUAGGAAUACCCGCUGAACUUAA
RNAcentral lists this unclassified non-coding RNA (301 nucleotides) under uncultured Sordariomycetes. RNAcentral's name for it is "sequence contains ITS1". The stretch from base 1 to 105 matches the Rfam family "5.8S ribosomal RNA", at positions 50 to 154 of the family's 154-position model. The record is from RNAcentral. Lineage: Eukaryota; Fungi; Ascomycota; Sordariomycetes.